CCUGGCUCAGAUUGAACGCUGGCGGCAUGCCUUACACAUGCAAGUCGAACGGCAGCACGGGUGCUUGCACCUGGUGGCGAGUGGCGAACGGGUGAGUAAUACAUCGGAACAUGUCCUGUAGUGGGGGAUAGCCCGGCGAAAGCCGGAUUAAUACCGCAUACGAUCUACGGAUGAAAGCGGGGGACCUUCGGGCCUCGCGCUAUAGGGUUGGCCGAUGGCUGAUUAGCUAGUUGGUGGGGUAAAGGCCUACCAAGGCGACGAUCAGUAGCUGGUCUGAGAGGACGACCAGCCACACUGGGACUGAGACACGGCCCAGACUCCUACGGGAGGCAGCAGUGGGGAAUUUUGGACAAUGGGCGAAAGCCCGAUCCAGCAAUGCCGCGUGUGUGAAGAAGGCCUUCGGGUUGUAAAGCACUUUUGUCCGGAAAGAAAUCCUUGGUUCUAAUAUAGCCGGGGGAUGACGGUACCGGAAGAAUAAGCACCGGCUAACUACGUGCCAGCAGCCGCGGUAAUACGUAGGGUGCGAGCGUUAAUCGGAAUUACUGGGCGUAAAGCGUGCGCAGGCGGUUUGCUAAGACCGAUGUGAAAUCCCCGGGCUCAACCUGGGAACUGCAUUGGUGACUGGCAGGCUAGAGUAUGGCAGAGGGGGGUAGAAUUCCACGUGUAGCAGUGAAAUGCGUAGAGAUGUGGAGGAAUACCGAUGGCGAAGGCAGCCCCCUG
RNAcentral lists this ribosomal RNA (720 nucleotides) under uncultured Burkholderia sp. RNAcentral describes it as "bacterial SSU rRNA". It matches the Rfam family "Bacterial small subunit ribosomal RNA", at positions 18 to 731 of the family's 1533-position model. The record is from RNAcentral. Lineage: Bacteria; Pseudomonadati; Pseudomonadota; Betaproteobacteria; Burkholderiales; Burkholderiaceae.